This 253-nucleotide ribosomal RNA is filed under the name uncultured bacterium. RNAcentral describes it as "partial 16S ribosomal RNA". It matches the Rfam family "Bacterial small subunit ribosomal RNA", at positions 524 to 776 of the family's 1533-position model. The record is from RNAcentral.
UACGGGGGGGGCAAGCGUUGUUCGGAAUUACUGGGCGUAAAGGGCCAGUAGGCGGCCAACUAAGUCGGAUGUGAAAUCCCCAGGCUUAACCUGGGAACUGCAUCCGAUACUGGAUGGCUUGAAUUCGGGAGAGGGAUGCAGAAUUCCAGGUGUAGCGGUGAAAUGCGUAGAUAUCAGGAAGAACACCUAUGGCGAAGGCAGCUCUCUGGGACGGUACUGACGCUGAGACGCGAAAGCGUGGGGAGCGAACAGG